CCGCGCCACAAGUGGCAAUCGUUCUUAUUGGGCCUAAAGCGUCCGUAGCUGGUUUAGAAAAUCUUCUGUGAAAAUGUUCGGCUCAACCGAACAACGUGCAGGAGACACUCCUAAACUCGGAACCGGUAGGGGUCAGAAGUAUGUUAGGGGUAACGGUAAAAUGUUAUAAUCCCUGAUAGACUACCUGUGGCGAAGGCGUCUGACUAGGACGGAUUCGACAGUGAGGGACGAAAGCCAGGGGAGCGAACCGGAUUAGAUACCCGAGUAGUCC
RNAcentral lists this ribosomal RNA (271 nucleotides) under uncultured archaeon. RNAcentral's name for it is "partial 16S ribosomal RNA". It matches the Rfam family "Archaeal small subunit ribosomal RNA", at positions 477 to 747 of the family's 1478-position model. The record is from RNAcentral.